RNAcentral lists this ribosomal RNA (253 nucleotides) under uncultured bacterium. RNAcentral describes it as "partial 16S ribosomal RNA". It matches the Rfam family "Bacterial small subunit ribosomal RNA", at positions 524 to 776 of the family's 1533-position model. The record is from RNAcentral.
UACGUAGGGGGCAAGCGUUAUCCGGAAUUACUGGGUGUAAAGGGAGCGUAGACGGUAAUGUAAGUCUGGAGUGAAAGGCGGGGGCCCAACCCCCGGACUGCUCUGGAAACUAUGUUACUAGAGUGCAGGAGAGGUAAGCGGAAUUCCUAGUGUAGCGGUGAAAUGCGUAGAUAUAUGGAGGAACACCCGUGGCGAAAGCGGCUCUCUGGCCUGUAACUGACACUGAGGCUCGAAAGCGUGGGGAGCAAACAGG